UCUUGACCUCGGAUCAGGUAG
This 21-nucleotide ribosomal RNA is filed under the name Phoma sp. DR9. Its description in RNAcentral is "partial 28S ribosomal RNA". Lineage: Eukaryota; Fungi; Ascomycota; Dothideomycetes; Pleosporales; Didymellaceae. The record is from RNAcentral.